Molecule: ribosomal RNA, 497 nt
Filed under: uncultured bacterium
Lineage: Bacteria
Description: SSU rRNA
Rfam family: Bacterial small subunit ribosomal RNA
Source: RNAcentral
AGAUUGAACGCUGGCGGCGUGCUUAACACAUGCAAGUCGAGCGGUAACGCGGGAGCAAUCCUGGCGACGAGCGGCGAACGGGUGAGUAAUGCUUGGGAAUCUGCCCAUUAGUGGGGAACAACCAGCCGAAAGGUUGGCUAAUACCGCAUACGCCCUACGGGGGAAAGCGGGGGAUCGAAAGACCUCGCGCUAAUGGAUGAGCCCAAGUCGGAUUAGCUUGUUGGUAGGGUAACGGCCUACCAAGGCGACAAUCCGUAGCUGGUCUGAGAGGACGACCAGCCACACUGGGGACUGAGACACGGCCCAGACUCCUACGGGAGGCAGCAGUGGGGGAAUAUUGGACAAUGGGGGCAACCCUGAUCCAGCGACGCCGCGUGUGUGAAGAAGGCCUGCGGGUUGUAAAGCACUUUUAGUGGGGAUGAAAAGCUCAGGGUUAACACCUCUGGGUCUUGACCUAACCACAGAAAAGCACCGGCUAACUCUGCGCCAGCAGCCGC